RNAcentral lists this long non-coding RNA (1145 nucleotides) under Homo sapiens (human). Its description in RNAcentral is "HSALNT0180044". The record is from RNAcentral. Lineage: Eukaryota; Metazoa; Chordata; Mammalia; Primates; Hominidae.
GACGUCACAAGGUAGCGCGUAACGGGGCCCGCUGGGGCAGACAACGCCGGGGUUACAGGCCGGCUCUGCGGGGAUUCUACGGAGGGUCGGGCCUCCUCCAGUAAGAAGCGUGGGCGAGUAGUGGUGUCGCCAGUGGCAACUGAAGGGAGUAAUGGAGAUAAAACAAAAGCGAAGGCGAAGUUAAAGCACUCCACGAGUUCCCUCGGAUUAAACGCCGGAGAGAGCGUGAAUUUGCCUCGGGGACGCCUCUCCAGGAGGCAGGGGACGGUUUUUGCACUUUCUUGCUAGGAACCCGAAGCCGCAAAGCUGAUGGCAUCCUUCUUCCCUGUCCAGGAAAGCGAAGCGACUGGUUUGGGAACAGAAUGCUCUGAUUUGGAGCUCCUCCCAUCCCAUUAAAGCCUGGAUGCUGUCUGUGAGCAACGGAAUGUCGGAUUGCACAUCCUAUUGUAAAAUGUACUUACUGCAGAUCAGAAUUUCAACAAGAGAGCAAAACUAACACAAUUUGUAAGAAGUGUGCUCAAAAUGUGAAGCAAUUUGGGACGCCCAAGCCUUGUCAGUACUGUAACAUAAUUGCAGCAUUUAUUGGUACCAAGUGUCAGCGUUGCACAAAUUCAGAAAAAAAGUAUGGACCACCUCAGACCUGUGAACAGUGCAAACAGCAAUGUGCUUUUGAUCGGAAGGAGGAAGGAAGAAGAAAGGUUGAUGGAAAGUUAUUAUGCUGGCUCUGUACUUUAUCGUACAAAAGAGUUUUACAGAAGACGAAAGAACAAAGGAAGAGCCUGGGAUCUUCACAUUCAAAUUCAUCUUCUUCAUCUCUUACUGAGAAAGACCAGCAUCAUCCAAAACAUCAUCACCACCAUCAUCACCAUCACCAUCGUCACAGCAGUAGCCAUCACAAAAUCAGCAAUCUAAGUCCAGAAGAAGAGCAGGGACUGUGGAAACAGAGCCAUAAAUCCUCUGCAACAAUUCAGAAUGAAACUCCAAAGAAAAAGCCCAAAUUGGAAUCUAAGCCAUCUAAUGGAGAUAGGUAAAAAUGAAUUCUUUUAGUGUUAUGAAAAUUCAACUUAGUUGAAUAGUUAUGGUUGAAUGCCAGUUAUUACUAGAUAAAAAAAUAGAAACAUGUAUUUUCUACAUUGACUUGAGUC